This 492-nucleotide ribosomal RNA is filed under the name uncultured bacterium. RNAcentral describes it as "partial 16S ribosomal RNA". It matches the Rfam family "Bacterial small subunit ribosomal RNA", at positions 29 to 507 of the family's 1533-position model. The record is from RNAcentral.
AGUGAACGCUGGCGGUAGGCCUAACACAUGCAAGUCGAGCGGCAGCACAGGAAGAGCUUGCUCUUACGGGUGUCGAGUGGCGGACGGGUGAGUAAUACAUCGGAAUCUACUUUUUCGUGGGGGAUAACGUAGGGAAACUUACGCUAAUACCGCAUACGACCUACGGGUGAAAGCAGGGGAUCUUCGGACCUUGCGCGAGUGAAUGAGCCGAUGUUGGAUUAGCUAGUUGGCGGGGUAAAGGCCUACGAAGGCGACGAUCCGUAGCUGGUCUGAGAGGAUGGUCAGCUACACUGGAACUGAGACACGGCCCAGACUCCUACGGGAGGCAGCAGUGGGGAAUAUUGGACGAUGCGGGCAAGCCUGAUCCAGCCAUACCGCGUGGGUGAAGAAGGCCUUCGGGUUGUAAAGUCCUUUUGUUGGGAAAGAAAAAAAGCAGGUUAAUACCCCGCUGUUCUGACGGUACCAAAAGAAUAAGCACCGGCUAACUUCGUG